UACAAUGAUAUUAGUGUCUACUUGUCUAA
This 29-nucleotide small RNA is filed under the name Bombyx mori (domestic silkworm). Its description in RNAcentral is "ovarian small RNA-5919". Lineage: Eukaryota; Metazoa; Arthropoda; Insecta; Lepidoptera; Bombycidae. The record is from RNAcentral.